AUUGAACGCUGGCGGCAUGCCUUACACAUGCAAGUCGAACGGCAGCACGGGUGCUUGCACCUGGUGGCGAGUGGCGAACGGGUGAGUAAUACAUCGGAACAUGUCCUGUAGUGGGGGAUAGCCCGGCGAAAGCCGGAUUAAUACCGCAUACGAUCCACGGAUGAAAGCGGGGGACCUUCGGGCCUCGCGCUAUAGGGUUGGCCGAUGGCUGAUUAGCUAGUUGGUGGGGUAAAGGCCUACCAAGGCGACGAUCAGUAGCUGGUCUGAGAGGACGACCAGCCACACUGGAACUGAGACACGGCCCAGACUCCUACGGGAGGCAGCAGUGGGGAAUUUUGGACAAUGGGCGAAAGCCUGAUCCAGCAAUGCCGCGUGUGUGAAGAAGGCCUUCGGGUUGUAAAGCACUUUUGUCCGGAAAGAAAUCCUUGGCUCUAAUACAGUCGGGGGAUGACGGUACCGGAAGAAUAAGCACCGGCUAACUACGUG
Molecule: ribosomal RNA, 486 nt
Filed under: uncultured bacterium
Lineage: Bacteria
Description: partial 16S ribosomal RNA
Rfam family: Bacterial small subunit ribosomal RNA
Source: RNAcentral